RNAcentral lists this ribosomal RNA (460 nucleotides) under uncultured bacterium. Its description in RNAcentral is "partial 16S ribosomal RNA". It matches the Rfam family "Bacterial small subunit ribosomal RNA", at positions 338 to 795 of the family's 1533-position model. The record is from RNAcentral.
CCUACGGGAGGCAGCAGUGAGGAAUAUUGGUCAAUGGACGAGAGUCUGAACCAGCCAAGUAGCGUGAAGGAUGACUGCCCUAUGGGUUGUAAACUUCUUUUAUAUGGGAAUAAAACGUUCCACUUGUGGGAUUUUGUAUGUACCAUGUGAAUAAGGAUCGGCUAAAUCCGUGCCAGCAGCCGCGGUAAUACGGAGGAUCCGAGCGUUAUCCGGAUUUAUUGGGUUUAAAGGGAGCGUAGGUGGAUUGUUAAGUCAGUUGUGAAAGUUUGCGGCUCAACCGUAAAAUUGCAGUUGAAACUGGAAGUCUUGAGUACAGGAGAGGUGGGCGGAAUUCGUGGUGUAGCGGUGAAAUGCUUAGAUAUCACGAAGAACUCCGAUUGCGAAGGCAGUUCACUGGACUGCAACUGACACUGAGGCUCGAAAGUGUGGGUAUCAAACAGGAUUAGAUACCCGUGUAGUC